This 442-nucleotide ribosomal RNA is filed under the name uncultured bacterium. RNAcentral describes it as "partial 16S ribosomal RNA". It matches the Rfam family "Bacterial small subunit ribosomal RNA", at positions 338 to 795 of the family's 1533-position model. The record is from RNAcentral.
CCUACGGGCGGCAGCAGUGGGGAAUAUUGGGCAAUGGACGCAAGUCUGACCCAGCAACGCCGCGUGAAGGAAGAAGGCUUUCGGGUUGUAAACUUCUUUUAAGGGGGAAGAGCAGAAGACGGUACCUGAGGAAUAAGCCACGGCUAACUACGUGCCAGCAGCCGCGGUAAUACGUAGGUGGCAAGCGUUAUCCGGAUUUACUGGGUGUAAAGGGCGUGUAGGCGGGAAAGCAAGUCAGAUGUGAAAACCACGGGCUCAACCUGUGGCCUGCAUUUGAAACUGUUUUUCUUGAGUACUGGAGAGGCAGACGGAAUUCCUAGUGUAGCGGUGAAAUGCGUAGAUAUUAGGAGGAACACCAGUGGCGAAGGCGGUCUGCUGGACAGCAACUGACGCUGAGGCGCGAAAGCGUGGGGAGCAAACAGGAUUAGAUACCCUAGUAGUC